Molecule: ribosomal RNA, 498 nt
Filed under: uncultured bacterium
Lineage: Bacteria
Description: partial 16S ribosomal RNA
Rfam family: Bacterial small subunit ribosomal RNA
Source: RNAcentral
AUUGAACGCUGGCGGCAUGCUUUACACAUGCAAGUCGAACGGUAACAGGUCUUCGGAUGCUGACGAGUGGCGAACGGGUGAGUAAUACAUCGGAACGUGCCUAGUAGUGGGGGAUAACUACUCGAAAGAGUGGCUAAUACCGCAUGAGAUCUACGGACGAAAGCAGGGGAUCGCAAGACCUUGUGCUACUAGAGCGGCCGAUGGCAGAUUAGGCAGUUGGUGGGAUAAAAGCUUACCAAGCCGACGAUCUGUAGCUGGUCUGAGAGGACGAUCAGCCACACUGGGACUGAGACACGGCCCAGACUCCUACGGGAGGCAGCAGUGGGGAAUUUUGGACAAUGGGCGCAAGCCUGAUCCAGCAAUGCCGCGUGCAGGAUGAAGGCCUUCGGGUUGUAAACUGCUUUUGUACGGAACGAAAAGCCCCGGGUUAAUACCCUGGGGUCAUGACGGUACCGUAAGAAUAAGCACCGGCUAACUACGUGCCAGCCGCCGCCGUAA